AGUGAACGCUGGCGGUAGGCCUAACACAUGCAAGUCGAACGGCAGCACAGUAAGAGCUUGCUCUUACGGGUGGCGAGUGGCGGACGGGUGAGGAAUACAUCGGAAUCUACUUUUUCGUGGGGGAUAACGUAGGGAAACUUACGCUAAUACCGCAUACGACCUACGGGUGAAAGCAGGGGAUCUUCGGACCUUGCGCGAUUGAAUGAGCCGAUGUCGGAUUAGCUAGUUGGCGGGGUAAAGGCCCACCAAGGCGACGAUCCGUAGCUGGUCUGAGAGGAUGAUCAGCCACACUGGAACUGAGACACGGUCCAGACUCCUACGGGAGGAAGCAGUGGGGAAUAUUGGACAAUGGGCGCAAGCCUGAUCCAGCCAUACCGCGUGGGUGAAGAAGGCCUUCGGGUUGUAAAGCCCUUUUGUUGGGAAAGAAAAGCAGCAGGUUAAUACCCCGCUGUUCUGACGGUACCCAAAGGAUAAGCACGGGCUAACUUCGUG
RNAcentral lists this ribosomal RNA (492 nucleotides) under uncultured bacterium. RNAcentral describes it as "partial 16S ribosomal RNA". It matches the Rfam family "Bacterial small subunit ribosomal RNA", at positions 29 to 507 of the family's 1533-position model. The record is from RNAcentral.